RNAcentral lists this ribosomal RNA (253 nucleotides) under uncultured bacterium. RNAcentral's name for it is "partial 16S ribosomal RNA". It matches the Rfam family "Bacterial small subunit ribosomal RNA", at positions 524 to 776 of the family's 1533-position model. The record is from RNAcentral.
UACGUAGGGCGCAAGCGUUAUCCGGAAUUAUUGGGCGUAAAGAGCUCGUAGGCGGUUUGUCGCGUCUGCCGUGAAAGUCCGGGGCUCAACUCCGGAUCUGCGGUGGGUACGGGCAGACUAGAGUGAUGUAGGGGAGACUGGAAUUCCUGGUGUAGCGGUGAAAUGCGCAGAUAUCAGGAGGAACACCAGUGGCGAAGGCGGUGCUCUGGGCCGGAACUGACGCUGAGGAGCGAAAGCGUGGGUAGCAAACAGG